This 868-nucleotide long non-coding RNA is filed under the name Homo sapiens (human). RNAcentral describes it as "HSALNT0002782". The stretch from base 718 to 865 matches the Rfam family "Metazoan signal recognition particle RNA". Lineage: Eukaryota; Metazoa; Chordata; Mammalia; Primates; Hominidae. The record is from RNAcentral.
UCCAAAUAAAUAAAUAAAAUAAAAUAUAUCAGUAAACAGACUACUUGUCAUCACCUGCACUACCAUUCUCUUCCAGGCCACCAUCAUCUCUCACCUGUAUUAGAGCAAUAACUUCUUAACUGCUUUUUUCAUGCUCCCUUUCAGUAUGUUCUUACCAUCAUAGUGAGAGUGAGACUUUUUUAAAAAUGUAAGUUCUAUCACUUUUUAAAAUUUAUUUAUUUAUUUAUUUGAGAAGGAAUCUUGUUCUGUUGCCCAGACUGGAGUAUAGUGGCAAGAUCGUGGCUCAUGGCAACCUCGAACUCCUAGGCUCAAACGAUCCUCCCACUGUGGCCUCAAAAGUAGCUGGGACUGCAGGAAUGUGUCACCACACACAGCUAGUAGUUUUUAAAUUGUUAAUAGAGACAGAAUCUCCCUACAUUGCCCAGACUGGUCUUUAACUCCUGGCCUCAAGUGAUCCUCCUGCUUCGGCCACCCAGGUGUUGGGAUUACAGGUGUGAGCCACUGUGUCCAGUGUCAUGUCGCCUUUCUACUCAAACAUUCAGUGUCUUCCCAAUCCCGUCACAGUUAAAAAAUCAGUCUGUAGGGCUGGGUGUGGUGGCUCACGUCUGUAAUCCCAGCACUUUGGGAGUCUGAGGCGGGUGGAUCACAAGGUCAAGAGUUGGAGACCUUCCUGGCCAACAUGGUGAAACCCCAUCUCUACUAAGCAUACAAAAAUUAGCCGGGCAUGGUGGCACAUGCCUGUAAUCCCAGCUACUCAGGAGGCUGAGGCAGGAGAAUUGCUUGAACCCAGGAGGCAGAGGUUGCAGUGAGCCGAGAUUGUGCCACUGCACUCCAGCCUGGGCGACAGAGCAAGACUCUGUCUCGGGGC